GUGUCAGCCGCCGCGGUAAUACGAAGGACCCAAGCGUUAUCCGGAUUUAUUGGGUUUAAAGGGUGCGUAGGCGGGUUGUUAAGUCAGUGGUGAAAGCUCCGAGCCUAACUCGGAAACUGCCAUUGAUACUGACGAUCUUGAGUACAUUUGAGGUGGGCGGAAUGUGUCAUGUAGCGGUGAAAUGCUUAGAUAUGACACAGAACACCGAUUGCGAAGGCAGCUCACUAAACUGUAACUGACGCUGAGGCACGAAAGCGUGGGGAGCAAACAGGAUUAGAAACCCCGGUAGUCC
This 292-nucleotide ribosomal RNA is filed under the name uncultured bacterium. RNAcentral describes it as "partial 16S ribosomal RNA". It matches the Rfam family "Bacterial small subunit ribosomal RNA", at positions 505 to 796 of the family's 1533-position model. The record is from RNAcentral.